Molecule: long non-coding RNA, 725 nt
Filed under: Pan paniscus (pygmy chimpanzee)
Lineage: Eukaryota; Metazoa; Chordata; Mammalia; Primates; Hominidae
Description: lncRNA (ENSPPAG00000044243.1)
Source: RNAcentral
GUCUGUCUUGCAGAGGACACUAGGACGAUCAAGGCCAAUAUCCUAGCUGAUGAGCUCGUAGUCUGAUAGAGGAGGCUGACCUGUAAGCAAAUGAUUGGAGAAAAAAUAUGUUGAGAGGCAUGAAUCCAGGGAUGUGGGAGCAGAGAGGGUGGAAGAAGGCAGGAAAGACUUCCCAGAGGAGGGACAUUUGAGCAGGUCCUUUAAGGCUGGCUGGAGGCUUAUAGAAGCGACAGUGACUGAUCCCAUUGGUGGAGGAGGAACAGGAUAGUCUGCCAUUGGCUGCAGUCUUGCAGCAAAGAGACCUAGACUUGUGUCUCCUGGCCUGGGUAGGUUUGUUGGGUAGGUUUUUUAACCCUGAGAUCCAACAGGCUCAGCUUGGGAAUUUCUGGCUUUAGGUUGAGAGAAGGGCUGCUGGGCAGAGCAGAGGCCCACUUGUCCUCCCCAUUGGGAAACUUCCAGGUCCUGAGCUCUCCAGGGAGAUGCCACAGCAGGUCCAGGUCCAGGGCUCUUUCCUGUCUUCUACCACCCUCUCUGCUCCCACAGCCCUGGAUUCAUGCCUCUCAACAUAUGAUUUUUUUUCUCCAAUCAUUUGCUUACAGGUCAGCCUCCUCUAUCAGAAUAUGAGCUCAUCAGCUAGGAUAUCGGCCUUGAUCAUCCUGGUGUCCUCUGCAAGGAGACUUGUGUCUCCCGGCCAGGAUUCAAGAGUGUGCUUUGCUGUGCAGUGA